RNAcentral lists this long non-coding RNA (537 nucleotides) under Manihot esculenta (cassava). Its description in RNAcentral is "long non-coding RNA (MESC_LNC003273)". Lineage: Eukaryota; Viridiplantae; Streptophyta; Magnoliopsida; Malpighiales; Euphorbiaceae. The record is from RNAcentral.
UUACACUCUUGUCUGUAAGUCUCGUUCUCUUUGAUCAGUGUUUUUAGAUGAUAUUAAGGAAGGAUUAAGCGCAUGGUUGAUGAUGCAUCGGUUCUUCGUUCUCUUUGAUCAGUGUUUUUAGAUGAUAUUAAGGAAGGAUUAAGCGCAUGGUUGAUGAUGCAUCGGUUCUUUUUCUCUUCGUUUUGGUGUUAGUUUUUAGAUAUUUUAUUUUCUGUUUUUUCAUCUAUGAAUUUUGAGUCAGAACUCUGGUUUUCUUCUUCUUGUUGUUUCUGCUCUGAAUAAUGAGUGACUAGAUUUUCAAGUUCGAAGAUGGUAGUUAAAACACUAUGGAUAGGUAUAGUAAGGAGGAAAAUUGACCCAUUGAGCUUUACUCGGGUUCAAAUUUGUUUUUGACAGUUCCACCAUUGCUCAUUUUGGUUUUGUGGGCCAACUUUUAGUUAGGUUGAAAUAUGGAAGAGAAAGAGUAAUUCUUGGUCAGAUUUGAUGUCUUUUACUGGUGGGUAUGUUUCAUAUUGAUGUGGAUGUUCUGGUUUGCAG